CAAGAAGCCGAAAGGCUACUUAAAACCAUCGCGAACUUAUCCAAGUUGCUUCGGCGGCGCGGCUCCCCUCACGGGGGACCGCAACCCCCGCCUCUCAGGAGGUAAGGGGCAGCCGCCGGAGGUACGAAACUCUGUAUUAUAGUGGUAUCUCUGAGUAUAAAACAAAUAAGUUA
RNAcentral lists this unclassified non-coding RNA (173 nucleotides) under soil metagenome. Its description in RNAcentral is "partial internal transcribed spacer 1". The record is from RNAcentral.